GCCCCUUCUUCUUCCUUUCUUCAUUCUUUCUUUGUGCUCAUCCCCUUUUUUCUCUUCCUCUCUCUUCCCACGAACCCUAAAUCCUAAAACCGGGCAUAGAGGUGUCGGAUCGAGGCUUAUAACGGUUUCCUAAGGUACUACUCCUUCCUCUCUUCCCUUUCAUCCAUUGAGAUCUUGUUUUAGUGGUGGUUUUUUUAUGGAAUAUGUCAUUAAUGGUUUGCUUCAUGUCAUUUGUGAAAUGCCUUUUAUCCAAUGAGUAUUUGACUCAAAUGCGUGUUUACUAUGGUAUAGUAUGUACGAUUCAUGUCCUCGUUUAGUGUUGUAUGUUGUGGAUUAUGGUUUAGGGUUUGCUACUCUUUAGGGUUUUGCUACUCUUUAGUGCAUUGGGCCACUUUGUUAACUUUUUAGUAAGUACGAUUCAUGUCCUCUCUUAGUGUUGUUUGUCUUGGUGCUAUUAGAUGUGGCAUUAGUUAUAGUAACACUUGUUUAUGUAGAUGAUGAACCGGUAUCGAGUAGAGUAUUGGAAAAAACGCGGUCGACCGAGGGAGCUAUAUGCGGACGCCUCUUGUGUGGAUGCCCCGGUACCUCCCGACCUCUCGGUUCCAAAUUGUGAUUGUCAGAAGCCGGCAGAAGUGAUGCAAUCUAGGCAUCCUGACACCGCUGCACAGUGUUUCUACACAUGUGGCCAAUUCAAUGUAAGUUUAUGAAAUUGUGUUUGAAUUUUUAAAAUGUAGCUUAUGGUUGCACCAACGCUUUGCAUGAUUUAUUUGUUUGUUUUUCU
Molecule: long non-coding RNA, 781 nt
Filed under: Sorghum bicolor (sorghum)
Lineage: Eukaryota; Viridiplantae; Streptophyta; Magnoliopsida; Poales; Poaceae
Description: long non-coding RNA (SBIC_LNC006019)
Source: RNAcentral